This 380-nucleotide ribosomal RNA is filed under the name uncultured bacterium. RNAcentral describes it as "bacterial SSU rRNA". It matches the Rfam family "Bacterial small subunit ribosomal RNA", at positions 42 to 424 of the family's 1533-position model. The record is from RNAcentral.
UCAGGCCUAACACAUGCAAGUCGAACGGCAGCACGGGAGCAAUCCUGGUGGCGAGUGGCGAACGGGUGAGUAAAGCAUCGGAACGUGCCCAGUCGUGGGGGAUAACGUAGCGAAAGCUACGCUAAUACCGCAUACGAUCUGUGGAUGAAAGCGGGGGACCGUAAGGCCUCGCGCGAUUGGAGCGGCCGAUGUCAGAUUAGGUAGUUGGUGGGGUAAAGGCCCACCAAGCCGACGAUCUGUAGCUGGUCUGAGAGGACGACCAGCCACACUGGGACUGAGACACGGCCCAGACUCCUACGGGAGGCAGCAGUGGGGAAUUUUGGACAAUGGGCGCAAGCCUGAUCCAGCGAUGCCGCGUGCAGGAUGAAGGCCUUCGGGUU